Molecule: non-coding RNA, 293 nt
Filed under: Nostoc sp. pnB
Lineage: Bacteria; Bacillati; Cyanobacteriota; Cyanophyceae; Nostocales; Nostocaceae
Description: partial transfer RNA-Leu
Rfam family: Group I catalytic intron (bases 1-243)
About the family: Group I catalytic introns are large self-splicing ribozymes. They catalyse their own excision from mRNA, tRNA and rRNA precursors in a wide range of organisms.
Source: RNAcentral
AGAUAACUGAGCCUUGAAGGAGAAAUCCCUCAAGUGGAAGCUCUCAAACUCAGGGAAACCUAAAUCUGGUUACAGACAUGGCAAUCCUGAGCCAAGCCCAAAAAUUUGAGAUUUGCGAUUUGAGAUUUGCGAUUAAUCUUCAAUCUAAAAUCCAAAAUUGAGGGAAGGUGCAGAGACCCGACGGGAGCUACCCUAACGUUAAGUCGAGGGUAAAGGGAGAGUCCAAUUCUCAAAAUCUGAGCUGGCUAUUGUCAUCAGGUAGCAGUGAAAACUGCGGGAGAAUGAAAAUCCGU